GGAGAGUACAGACGGAGGUCGUCGAUAGCGUAUUUAGCACAGAAGCCGGCUGCUGGUUGGUGAUAAGAAGUGGUUAAUGCUGCACAUAACCAAGUUACUACCGUAUUUUACCGUAGCCAUUAAAAUUAAGUACGGUACACACAAGUCGAAGGUAUAAGCUUGCGAAAAUUGCUCGGCAGACACUGCUUGUGCCCUGCUGCAGCUGCUUGGAAUGUUGUCCCAACGCACCACAUUCCUGUGGGUUGCCUUGGAAUAACCAGAGAGCUCUGUUAGCACAGCAGAAGAAUCUCCAGGAGGAAGCUACAAACUGAUCACAACACAUGAAGUAAAUAAAACUAUGCCAACUAGGCAAGACAGGACGGGCACCAGGGAUGCAGAUGACUUUGUCCAGCUGAAAUGCUACCUUGCUUUACAAGAAACCAACUUUAUUAGUGUUAGUAUAUAUUUGAGAAGUAGCAGUCUGGCUCCAGAACAAAUGGAUGCUGUCUGGCCUUCUGAAGAUUAGUCUGAGGUUGCUGUCGAACCUUAGGUGGCUACCUAGUGGACUGCUGAGUUUGUCACCAUAUCCACUGCUUUGCUGACUGUUACCACCGAACUGGUCAUCCUUGACACUAAGUGUGAAUAUUACCAGACUAUCAGCGUAAUAAGUCAUGUUUGAAGAAUACUAACAGGAAUUCCUUACAGAAGUAUAGAAAACUGGUAGAAGCUGAACUUGGAGAAGAUCAGUUUGGAUUUCGAAGGAAUGUUAAACACGUGAGGCAACACUGACCCCAAGACUUGUCUUAAAAGGAACCAUUGAAAAAUGGCAGGAGCUGAAGAACUUCCAAACAUCAGUUAUUGAAACUAGAACAAACCCUGUUGAGUGUUGAUCACAGAAUAUUGUCUGGACUGCUCAUCCAGCAGCAACUCUGCUGAUGAUGUGGGAAAAUUGUCUGAACAUGCUGCUGAAAUUCCGGAGAAUUCAAGAAUGGCUCAACCAAGUGUAAAAAUCAAUGACUUGGUGAUUAUUUGUGUGCCAACAACACACAAUGUGCACGAGUACUUUGUGCGUGAAAUUCAAGAGAUAAAUGGCUAAGAAUUUCUUGUUAGGUUUCUGAGAAAACAGAAAAAUAAGUUUGUGUGGUCAGAAAUGUUGGAUUAAAGUUUAAUAUUAUGUAAGCAAAUAGCUUUAUUACGUAGUAAACCAGAUGUUUUGAAGUGGGGUUUAUGUUACUCAAAAAAAGGACUUGAAGACUUUUCUCUUAAUUGAAUUGUUUAGGGAGGUUACUGCCAGGUCAUAUUGCAAUAAGUUCAAAUUUAGAUCAACACGUAUGUAUAAUAUGUUUACCAUAAAUGAUAACUGUGCUAUAGCUUCAUUGUGGAUGAUUAAAAAAGUUUUUAGAAUACAAAUUUGUGUUUACAUAUUAUGAUGAUGAUGAUGAUGAUGAUGAUGAUGAUGAUGAUGAUGGUCUAUUUACACUUUUCAUUAAUCCUGUGGAAACAGUCAAAGCUACCCCAACCGUGGAUUAAUUUUGAUAGGUGAGAAAAAAAUUAUUUCCCUUGAUGUGUAUGCUUUUAAAUAAAGUUGGGUAUAUCGUUCAGUAGCUAGAUGGUUUGCCCAUAAAAUACCACAUUCAGUUUGAGGAAAAUAUUUACAUAUGUUUUGAUGUCGCAUUUAAAUUAAAAAUAUUGCACAAAGUUUCCCCAUUUGACGGUAGUGAUACUGGAGUCAUCAGCACCAUAUAUAU
Molecule: long non-coding RNA, 1727 nt
Organism: Schistocerca gregaria
Lineage: Eukaryota; Metazoa; Arthropoda; Insecta; Orthoptera; Acrididae
Exons: 6
Source: RefSeq, a predicted model, not a curated record